UACGGAGGAUCCGAGCGUUAUCCGGAUUUAUUGGGUUUAAAGGGUGCGCAGGCGGGAGAUUAAGUCGGCGGUGAAAUUUUGCAGCUUAACUGUAAAAGUGCCUUCGAAACUGGUUUCCUUGAGUGUAGAUGAAGUAGGCGGAAUUUGUGGUGUAGCGGUGAAAUGCAUAGAUAUCACGAGGAACUCCGAUUGCGCAGGCAGCUUACUAAACUACUACUGACGCUCAGGCACGAAGGCGUGGGGAUCAAACAGGAUUAGAUACCCCGGUAGUCCCUGA
Molecule: ribosomal RNA, 277 nt
Filed under: uncultured prokaryote
Description: partial 16S ribosomal RNA
Rfam family: Bacterial small subunit ribosomal RNA
Source: RNAcentral